ACGCCUAAAAAUCUAGGAGGGGACGAUCAGCGCCGCAAUACACAAAACAACCCCCACCCCUGACUUCAUCUUCUUCAGCUGAACAAUACAGAAAAAACGAAGCCUAGACCCAAGAUCAAAUCGGCCGUUUUCUCUUCUUCUACACAAAAACUUGAAGAGACCUAAAAAGAAAAUGAGGAAGCAACCGUUGCUUCUUCUUUGACACACUGAACCAAAACCCUUUACACAACACAAAUGGAAAACAACAAACAAAAACUCCAAAACAAGAACUGAAGAAUGACCUUCCACACCUACACAAAGCAGCCAUCGCUCGUCGCCACCCACAUCGCCGGAAAAUCAACAACGACCACCUCUGACCCCAUUGCCGGUGAACCAAACCACACCCUUCAUCUUCUCCUUCUUCAACCUAAAACAACCUCACCCCAGCUCACUAUCGCCGCUGUUUCUUUCCCUUCCUCCACCCUCUACUGUCUUUGUAUCGUCGGAGUCGCAUCGUCGACGAUGAACGAGUAGAAAACAGUCCACUGUUUCAUCACCAUUGUUCUCGUGUGCUUUACUUCUAUGUCGGAUGAGUGUAGAUCUAACAAGUUCUGGAUUUUGUGACGUUUUUGUGCUGAGUUUGGCCAGAAUCAGUUCUUUGGCAUUCCUCCGCGUGUGUCGUUUGGCUGUGGUUCCAAUAUCGCCAUCGUUAUGGUAGUAGCGUCAUUGGUUCCGGCGAGUGUCGAGGUUUGGAUCGUCGUUCCGUCGAGGUUUCCAUUUUGGUCCGGUGAUUAAUUUCGUUUUGUCUGCGUGAAGAUUCAAUUUUUCUCAUACAGGUGUGGAUCUACUUACCGAAAUUUGAGCAUGACAGAUACCCCCAAAACUACUACAUUCAGGAGCUGCCUGAGGAGCUUUUUUUUGUUUUAGAGUCUAUUGUUCAUGUUAUACUUUCUAGUCCUGUAUAGUAGUAUUCAGUCAUUUAGUUGAUUUUUGAGUCUGUCAUAGUCUAGUUAAGUUUGUCAGUCUUUUGUUAUUAUUUCCUAUUUUGUAUUUGAAAAAUGUAUUAUAAAAUCCAAAAAAAAGGAUAUUUUGCGUUUUUGUAUUUC
Long non-coding RNA from Nicotiana tabacum (common tobacco), 1085 nucleotides. RefSeq lists it as uncharacterized. NCBI's taxonomy places the organism in Eukaryota, Viridiplantae, Streptophyta, Magnoliopsida, Solanales, Solanaceae. The record is from RefSeq and is a predicted model, not a curated record.